UUGAGGGGAAUGAAACUUAAGCCACUUGUAAACAAAUAAGUGAUGGUAACUCAAAGUUUGUGAAUGGAGAUUCCAUGAAUAAGGUUCAUAUGAGUAAAAAGAAGUCGUUUGUUAGCUCUGAUAGCACUAAAUUAAUUUUUAAUCAAUUAUGUCAUUUCCUAUGGUGUGUUUGAAAGUACUAGAGACUGCAUUACUGAGACUUCACAACUUUAGUCCAUCGUCCCUCCAACCCAGCUACUACCCUCUCCAUCACAUGUCGUCCCAAAGUACCCCACAUCAAUCUAGUCC
RNAcentral lists this long non-coding RNA (288 nucleotides) under Vigna radiata. RNAcentral describes it as "long non-coding RNA (VRAD_LNC004120)". The record is from RNAcentral. Lineage: Eukaryota; Viridiplantae; Streptophyta; Magnoliopsida; Fabales; Fabaceae.